RNAcentral lists this ribosomal RNA (467 nucleotides) under uncultured bacterium. Its description in RNAcentral is "partial 16S ribosomal RNA". It matches the Rfam family "Bacterial small subunit ribosomal RNA", at positions 28 to 507 of the family's 1533-position model. The record is from RNAcentral.
GACGAACGCUGGCGGCGUGCUUAACACAUGCAAGUCGAACGGAAAGGCCUCUUUCGGGGGGUACUCGAGUGGCGAACGGGUGAGUAACACGUGAGUAACCUGCCCUUGACUUUGGGAUAACUUCAGGAAACUGGGGCUAAUACCGGAUAGGAGCUCCUGCUGCAUGGUGGGGGUUGGAAAGGUUCGGCGGUUGGGGAUGGACUCGCGGCUUAUCAGCUUGUUGGUGGGGUAGUGGCUUACCAAGGCUUUGACGGGUAGCCGGCCUGAGAGGGUGACCGGCCACAGUGGGACUGAGAUACGGCCCAGACUCCUACGGGAGGCAGAAGUGGGGAAGAUUGAACAAUGGGUGGAAGCCUGAUGCAGCAACGCCGUGUGCGGGAGGACGGCCUUCGGGUUGUAAACCGCUUUCGCUCAUGACGAAGCUUUGUGUGACGGUAGUGGGUAAAGAAGCAACGGCUAACUCCGUG